This is an RNA transcript of Tripterygium wilfordii, 3371 nucleotides long. It is a transcript of the gene named cyclin-dependent kinase G-2-like, with no coding region annotated. Lineage: Eukaryota; Viridiplantae; Streptophyta; Magnoliopsida; Celastrales; Celastraceae. The transcript is spliced from 10 exons. The record is from RefSeq and is a predicted model, not a curated record.
AUGGCGGCUGGGAGACAUGGGAGUUCUCGUGAUAGCGAGUUCAGGGGCCGCGAGUCUGGUGUUGAGGUGUUGAGGCGGGAUUUUGCUCAUUCCAAGGAGGAGUAUGAUCGGAGCAGGAAUGGUGGUAAUUCUAAUAAUGAUGGAAGGGCUCAAGCUCGUGGGGUAAGAGAUCAGGGAAGGCUUAGACAGAAAGAUGUCAAGGAGAGGGAUGUUGUUAACGGUGGAUACAGGUCCUCUUCAAGUAGGAGUGAUUCAGGCAGCAGUGGUGGUGGUGGACAUGGGCCCCGUCCAUGUGGUUUUUCAGUUAGGGCUGUUGAUAGGGAGCCUGGUGAGUUGUCAAGUGAGAGUGGUUCUGAUGAUGCCAUUGAAGCUGAAUCACAGGUAAAAGAUAUUGAGGCCUCUGAGACUGUUGAGAAUGGGAUUCAUGCUUCCCCUUUGGUGAAGAAGAGGAAGUUUUCACCUAUAGUUUGGGAUAGAGAUGACAGGGACGUAAGUGAUGCAUCAAGAACAAGAAGUAGAAUUAGCACAACUGUGGCAGCUCUUCCUCCCCCACCACCACUGCCCAAGGUGUAUCGGCAGUCACCUAAUGUUGUUCCUGGUGGAGGCGUACAAAUAUCUCUGAUUGCGGAUGGUAAAAGCAAUGAUUUGCAAUUGUCUUCACCAGUAGAGCCUUCUGUAGCUUCUGGGGGUGCCCAAGAUUCUCUGUCGGAAUCCCCUUUGGGCAUGUCUUCUUCGCCAGUAAAGGAGCAGCAGUGGGGAAUUUAUCAGGUUGCAAAGCAGCUUGAAGAUGAUGAUUAUGUGCCAACUCGGAACAUUUCAUCUUCUCGAUGGGCAGCUGGAAACAAUUCUCCGGUGGAUGAAGGGGAAAUUGUGGAAGAGGAAAUGCCUAAAAGGAAGAAGAAAAUUAUGCAUAUAGAGUCCUUGGAUGCUGAAGUACGGAAAAAAUCUGUAACUCCCGAGGAAGGAGAGCCAAAGAGAGAAGGCUCUGAAGUAGCCAGGGCGAGGUCAUGUGAAUCUGAUGAACGAGGUGUGCCUACUAUGUCUUUGAGUGGGGAUGAUUACUCCGGUACUGAUUCGGAGAAGGAUUACAUGGACAUUGAUGAGGAACGCAAUAACAAUAAUAAUAGUCUUAGCCGGUCGGAUAACGAUACUGAGGAAGAAGAUGAUUCUCGUGCAACUCCAGAACCUCUGGCUCCUCCCCAAAGAAGCAUAAACAUGCUUCAGGGCUGUAGAAGUGUGGAUGAGUUUGAAAGACUAAAUAAGAUAGAUGAAGGAACAUAUGGUGUUGUAUAUAGAGCUAGAGAUAAGAAGACAGGAGAAAUUGUAGCCUUGAAAAAAGUGAAGAUGGAGAAAGAAAGAGAAGGUUUUCCAUUAACUUCUUUGAGGGAAAUAAACAUUCUCCUUUCCUUUCAUCACCCAUCAAUUGUGGAUGUUAAAGAAGUUGUUGUAGGGAGUAGCCUAGAUAGUAUUUUUAUGGUGAUGGAAUAUAUGGAACAUGAUCUGAAAGGACUCAUGGAGUCAAUGAAGCAGCCAUUUAGCCAGAGUGAGGUUAAAUGCCUUAUGCUUCAGCUCUUGGAGGGUGUGAAAUAUCUCCAUGAUAACUGGGUUCUCCAUCGAGAUAUGAAGACGUCAAAUCUGCUUUUAAACAACAGGGGUGAGUUGAAGAUUUGUGAUUUUGGGUUGGCUCGUCAGUAUGGCAGUCCGUUGAAACCUUACACACAUCUUGUGGUUACUCUUUGGUACAGGGCACCUGAACUCUUGCUGGGAGCGAGACAAUAUUCAACGGCAAUUGACAUGUGGUCACUCGGUUGUAUUAUGGCCGAAUUAUUAGCCAAGGAACCAUUGUUCAAUGGGAAAACCGAAUUUGAUCAACUCGACAAGAUUUUCCGAAGCCUUGGGACACCAAACGAAGCGAUUUGGCCUGGAUUUUCCAAGCUGCCAGGAGUCAAGGUCAAUUUCGUCAAACACCAGCUCCAGCUUUGGGUGAUCCUGGUCUGGCUGUAUAAUAUGCUGCGUAAGAAAUUCCCAGUGACCUCUUUCACUGGAUCCCCAGUUUUAUCUGAUGCAGGAUUUGACUUGUUGAACAAACUUCUAACUUAUGAUCCUGAGAAGCGGAUAACUGCUGAAGCUGCUCUUAACCAUGAGUGGUUUAAAGAAGUUCCUCUUCCAAAGUCUAAAGAUUUUAUGCCUACAUUUCCUGCUCAACAUGCUCAAGACAGGCGUCUUCGAAGAAUAAUGAAGAGUCCUGAUCCUUUGGAAGAGCAACGGAAAAGGGAGUUGCAGCAAGGGGAUUUAGGCGCUAGGGGUUUGUUUGGCUAAGGUGCUAAGCUUUACUGGCAGCGACGUUUCCUCCAUGCCUUAGUUUCUGCUGUUUCUGACAAUUGGACAUGGCUGAGGUGAGAGGCAUGUAUUGAAAGGAAGUUGCCAGUAUUCUUUACCAGACGAUCAUUCAUGCUGUUUUUUAGCAGGACAACUGAUGAUCUGGGUGGAGAAUCUAUUUGCCUCAUCCGUUCUAACCAGUGCAGGUUAACUUUGUUCAGCUUAGAAAAUCAUCUGUGACACUGCUUGUAUUGCAAGAGACCUGUGGUGUGAAGUGUGGAGAAGACGUUCUUAGCUUUUCACUGACGAAGAAUUUGACAGUAACCAAAAUACUUCCGAGUAUCAAAGCAAGCAGGUUGAGGAGGCUCCCUCAUACUGUGGAUUUUAUAGAACUUCCAAUUAGAUGUUCUCCGGGCUUGCCAGAGAUGAACAAUGGGCAAAAACAAGGUGAAAUGUCAUGAUCCAUGGGAUUUUCUGUGCUCUCUGUACGUAUGUAGCGGUGGAUACUUGCCUUCUGCUAACAGCUUUUCUACUAACAGUAAGUUUGCGAGGUUGGUGUACGCUUCUAUCCCAGCCUAAAUAAACAAAACGUGCGUUCGGAUAUCCUGUACAAUAUUUAAUACCAUGCAUAUCGAUUACGUUGGCAUGUCAUGUCAUUUUUUUUUCCCCUUUUUUCCUUCAGGGUAAGAUGGGUAAAAACUUGCAAGUGAAAAUUGUUUGGUAAAUUUUUUGAUGGUUAUUUUACUCUCUUUUUUAAUGUACCAUUCAAACAAGUCUCUUUUGAUUUGAGUUGAAGCAAAAAUGUUGAGAUUGAAGGUGUGCAUCGUCUGUUGGAGCAAAAAUGUUGUUGUAAAGCUCGUAAGUAAGGUGGAGGAGGAACCCCACCUCGUUAAUGGGCUGUCUCGACCACUCCACUCCACUCCACUCCCUUGAGGAGUCCACAGCUGUGGAGGAAUAAUGGCAAUUGAGUUUCAACGGUUGGCCUUCCGAGACACAAAGCUCUUAAUUUCUAUCCUGUUGACAUAGAUAUAUAUAUAUAUAUAUAAAUAAAU